GGAUGUGAGGGCGAUCUGGCUGCGACAUCUGUGAUCCCAUUGAUUGCCAGGGUUGAUUCAUCUGAUCUGGCUGCCUAGGUGGGUGUCCCCUUCCUCCCUAACCACUCCAUGCUUGUCUCUCCUGAAGCUGUGUGCUCAGUCAAUGAGGAUGACCUUCCCUGAUAGAGGACCGAUCUUCAGUCAAGGGUAUAUGAGUGGCCGCACUACCCUGCUAGAACCUCUAAACAAGCUCUCAAGCCAGCAACUCCUAUGUCUUCCAUUUUCACACCCAGUUGGUCACU
Molecule: small RNA, 281 nt
Filed under: Prolemur simus (greater bamboo lemur)
Lineage: Eukaryota; Metazoa; Chordata; Mammalia; Primates; Lemuridae
Description: 7SK RNA (ENSPSMG00000007497.1)
Rfam family: 7SK RNA
About the family: 7SK was discovered as an abundant small nuclear RNA in the mid-70s but a possible function has only recently been suggested.
Source: Rfam by way of RNAcentral